CCCUUAGAUGUUCUGGGCGGCCCGCGCACUACAUUGGCACUAGCAAAGAGAUCCUAGAUUGAAUUCUUUGGGGUAUUCUUCUAAAUGGUGUCGUGACUGGGAUAAAUCCUUGUAAUUAUUGGUUUUGAACGAGGAAUUCCUUGUAAUCGCGGUUUAUCAGCUCGCGUUGAAUGCGUCCCUGCCCUUUGCACACACCGCCCGUCGCUCCUACCGAUGGAUCGUCCGGUGAAGCUCACGGAGUGACUGUUCACGCAACGGUUUACGAAGUGAAAUGGACCUCACGAUUUAGAGGAAGGAGAAGUCGUAACA
This 309-nucleotide ribosomal RNA is filed under the name uncultured eukaryote. Its description in RNAcentral is "partial 18S ribosomal RNA". It matches the Rfam family "Eukaryotic small subunit ribosomal RNA", at positions 1470 to 1796 of the family's 1831-position model. The record is from RNAcentral.